UACAGAGGUCCCAAGCGUUGUUCGGAUUCAUUGGGCGUAAAGGGUGCGUAGGUGGCGCUGUAAGUCGGGUGUGAAAUUUCGGAGCUUAACUCCGAAACUGCAUUCGAUACUGCGGUGCUCGAGGACUGGAGAGGAGACUGGAAUUCAUGGUGUAGCAGUGAAAUGCGUAGAGAUCAUGAGGAAGACCAGUGGCGAAGGCGGGUCUCUGGACAGUUCCUGACACUGAGGCGCGAAAGCCAGGGGAGCAAACAGG
Molecule: ribosomal RNA, 253 nt
Filed under: uncultured bacterium
Lineage: Bacteria
Description: partial 16S ribosomal RNA
Rfam family: Bacterial small subunit ribosomal RNA
Source: RNAcentral